RNAcentral lists this unclassified non-coding RNA (1090 nucleotides) under Hevea brasiliensis (rubber tree). The record is from RNAcentral. Lineage: Eukaryota; Viridiplantae; Streptophyta; Magnoliopsida; Malpighiales; Euphorbiaceae.
CAUGCACAGGUCUGUGUAUGAAUGUCCGAAUAGAACACAUCAUUCGUGUUGUUUUGGAUUAUACAACUAGCCUGAAGCAAAUACUCUUCAAAACAACCCCUAUGCACAGGUCUGUAUGAAUGUCCUAAUAUUACAAGAUCGACCAUGCAGAUGCAAAAGCAAGGAAAAUUAGAAAAUUUGUAUUUCGUACUACCCUUGUAUUACUUCCCCAAUACAAGUAAUAAAUGAAAGAAUAACACAGCCAUCAAGCCAAAUUCCUCAAACAGAAUUAGAGUUUAACUGCAGCAUAUCUACUUAGACCAAGCAACUGUAUCAAUUUCUGCUUGAGCACUCCUGUAUAACUCCAGCCUCUUUGCAAGGGCAGAUCGCCGCUCCAUGAUUGCUGGAUCCUCAUUCAACAAUGAUGAUAAAUACUUUUGCUCCAUUUUACCCAAUUCGGUGAAGAAAUGAUCGAGCAGGCUUCGUUUGGCCUCGCGCACUUGACAAUAAACAAUGGAUUUGGGAAUGGAAUUACCAAGACUUGCACAGACCAUAUUGACAUAGGACAAAACAGUUGUUCCAAUUCGUCUAAGAUAUGAAUCAUUGUAUCUAUCAAAUAUUGAAUGUGUGGGAUUGCCACCCUUAUCAACAUCUUGAGGAAGCUUCCUGAAGAAAUCAACUGUCAGGUAGCUGCACUCCAUAUCAACUAGCUUAAGUGUAGCUUUCCUGCUUUCCUCCUUCAUCUUGUCAAGUGACUCAAUAGCAGCAUUUCCAACCUCUACUCUGAGCGCAGGAUAUUGCUUUAACUCCUGAGAACCGAGAAAAAAAAAAAAAAGAAAUAUCAUGAAUCCAUUGGGAACAAUAAAGCACAGUUAAAAAAAUGAAAAACAUUUGGGAUAUGAAAAUCUUUAAGUAGCAUAGUUUUCAUAAAUAUUAAUGUGCUCCUCUUUAUUCACACGUGAGUAUAUGUCUGAUAAAAGCAAGUGCAGUAGUUAAUAGGUGCCACAAAUAAUGCUAAAACUUGUACCCUUACAUCCUAUGACCUUCAAAAGCAGAUUCUAUCAGCAGCUAGUUCAAAAUUUGAUUUACUACUUGCUAUGUAUAAAUUCUU